This 301-nucleotide ribosomal RNA is filed under the name uncultured bacterium. RNAcentral describes it as "partial 16S ribosomal RNA". It matches the Rfam family "Bacterial small subunit ribosomal RNA", at positions 509 to 809 of the family's 1533-position model. The record is from RNAcentral.
CAGCCGCCGCGGUAAUACGAAGGGUGCAAGCGUUACUCGGAAUUACUGGGCGUAAAGCGCGCGUAGGUGGUGGUUUAAGUCCGUUGUGAAAGCCCUGGGCUCAACCUGGGAAUUGCAGUGGAUACUGGGUCACUAGAGUGUGGUAGAGGAUAGUGGAAUUUCCGGUGUAGCAGUGAAAUGCGUAGAGAUCGGAAGGAACAUCUGUGGCGAAGGCGACUAUCUGGGCCAACACUGACACUGAGGCACGAAAGCGUGGGGAGCAAACAGGAUUAGAUACCCCGGUAGUCCCUGUCUCUUAUAA